CAAAUAUCCAAUGAAAGCAGAGCAGCAGAAAGACGUGCUGAGUGUAAAGCUGUCAGCAGGGGGAAUAACACAGGGCUGUGAAUGAGUCCUGUCACUGUGAUCAGGCUCCUCCUUCUAAUCCACCAACUUAGUGUUGAUGAAGACUAAACAGAGAGAUCACAGCUUCUUUAUACUUGCUGUAGCUCACAGUUACUCUACACUGCAGAUAUGACGCCUCUGUUCAUCUCAGUGCUGCUGGCUGCUAUGUGCCUCGAAUGCAGAGCACAAAAAGACAACGUGCUGCAAGCAAAAGGAGAAGAGACUGCUGCUGCAGGAGACACAGUAACACUUCACUGUCUCUAUAACAGCAGCAUCUCAUCGGGUAAUUCUCUCUUCUGGUACAAACAGGAUGGAAACAACAGCCCCAAAUUCAUCCUGAGUCGUGUUAGUGGAGAUGAUGGAAACACAGCAGCCGAGUUCAAGGAGAGAUUUUCAUCCACACUGGAUUCCAGCAUCAGAUCAGCUCCUCUGAAGAUCCAGAAGCUUCAGCUGUCUGACUCUGCUGUGUACUACUGUGCUCUGCAGCCCACAGUGACAGGAAACACCAAAACUCUGUACAAAAACCUUUGGAGCAAAGACAACAGAAUACUCCACAACAUCCACUAGAGGGAGCCACACACUGCUAAACUUCUCUGGUUUGUUUCAUUCAGUUUCAUUUGGCGACAGUGGGAAGGAAAAACUCCCUUUUUUACAUGAAGAAACCUCCAGCAGAACCAGGCUCAUCUGCGUGACCAGUU
Molecule: non-coding RNA, 776 nt
Organism: Oreochromis niloticus (Nile tilapia)
Lineage: Eukaryota; Metazoa; Chordata; Actinopteri; Cichliformes; Cichlidae
Source: the annotation of a RefSeq genome assembly